Molecule: long non-coding RNA, 5794 nt
Filed under: Musa acuminata (dwarf banana)
Lineage: Eukaryota; Viridiplantae; Streptophyta; Magnoliopsida; Zingiberales; Musaceae
Description: long non-coding RNA (MACU_LNC000726)
Source: RNAcentral
UCCUCUCUUCCUCUUCUAUUAUCGCCUCCCACUUCAGCAUCUCUCUUUGUAAGGAUGGGAUUCACCAAGGAAGUGGUGCAGCAGCUGAGCCCCGGGGAGGAGGAGGAGGAGGCACGCAUGCUCGCCAUGAGGCUGGUGACGGGAUCCUGCCUCCCAAUGAUUCUCAAUGUGGCCAUCGAGCUCGAGCUCCUCGAGAUCAUCGUCAAGGCUGGCCCCGGCGCCAAGCUGAGUCCCGACGACAUCGCCACCCAGCUGCCCACCGAGAACCCACAGGCGGCCGAUAUGGUAGACCGGAUCCUCCGCCUGCUCGCCGCCAACGGCGUCGUCAGUUUCUCUGUGGAGUCCGGCGACGAUGGGCGCCCCUCGUGCAAGUACGGGGCCACGCCUGUCUGCAAGUACCUGACCAAGAACGAGGACGGCGUGUCCAUGGCCGCUUUCUGCUUGCUGAUCCAUGACAAGGUCACCAUGGAGAGCUGGUAGUCGACGGAGCCAACAACGUCUACUCUUACUCGUUACUUCUCGCACUAAAAAGUUAGCCGAAGGAUUAAUCAGCUUAGUGUUUUUGCCUCCACAACGAUCGCAGGUACUACAUGAAGGAUGCGGUGUUGGAGGGCGGCAUCCCAUUCAAGAAGGCCCACGGCAUGACGGCGUUCGAGCACCACGGCGGCGAUCCACGGUUCAACAAGCUGUUCAACGACAGCAUGAGGAACCACUCCACCAUCUUGAUCAAGCAACUGCUGGAGACCUACCGCGGCUUCGACGACGUCAAGGUGCUCGUCGACGUCGGCGGCGGGACCGGCGCCACGCUCCACAUGAUCACCUCCAGGCACCCGCACAUCAAGGGCGUCAACUUCGACCUCCCUCUUGUCAUCGCCAGUGCACCGACCAACCCAGGUUCGCCAUUUAUAUCAGACAUUCGUCACAGUCAUAGUGCCUACCUCUUACAACGAAGCAAAAGAAUUCGUAAACUUGGGAUGCGUUGGCUCCAUGCAGAUGUAGAGCACGUAAGCGGCGACAUGUUUGAGAGCAUUCCGGGUGGAGGAGACGCCAUUUUCAUGAAGGUCAACAUUUAGAUUUUUUCCUUAACUCAUUUAAUGUUUGAGGUUUUGGUUAGGCAGCAUGUCGAACUUAUCAAAAAAAUUUGAAGGUUAUUAAUGAAAGAUACCACUCUUCAAACUACUCGAGACAUAUCAAUCAACCAAAUGAAAAGGGUAAAUCAAGCGGGACAAACAAUCAAAAAGAAUGAAGGAAAAAUAUUUACACUUUAAGAUCGAGGAGAUGGAGUCAAAGAAAAAGCACACAAGACACAAAUAUCGUCCUCCGCUUCCUCAUAGGGUGGAGACGCGGAGUUAUGCAUCUAUUCGCAACAAGUUUGACAUCUCAUUAGUCUUUAUCGACGUAAUUUUGCAGUGGAUUCUUCACGACUGGACUGAUGAGCAGUGCGCGAGAAUACUAAAGAACUGUUGGAAGGCUUUGCCGGAGGAAGGGAAGGUGAUAGUAGUGGAAUACUUGCUUCCCGUGAUUCCGGAGCCCGAUUCCAGAUCGCAAGGUGUUUUUUUCUUGGACAUCGGGAUGAUGAUACACACUGGAGGGAGAGAGAGGACACAGGAAGAGUUUGAGGCAAUGGCGAAGGAAGCAGGGUUUACAGGGUUCAAGGCCACCUACAUAUCUCUCUAUUCUUGGGUUAUGGAGUUCACAAAGUAGAUAAAAGAAAGAUCUAUGUCAUGUGCUGCUGUAGUAGAGUAGAAGAUAUACAUGCCUUAUGUAUUGCUUUCAGCUCCCUGCUGCCAUAGUAAGCUACCACGAGGUCGAGAGACCUCCGAAUGGACUUUGCUACGCUUUGAAAUCAGACUUUGCGACAGUGCUGUAAUAAGAUUCCAAAAGUUAUAUGUUUAUGAAGGUUUUGCUCGUAUUUGUUGGAAAAAGUUCACAUUUCAAACAGAGAUUUGAAUAGGAUUUAUAAUGUGUAUAUACAUUAGAAAUAUUUUUCUUUAUAUAAUUUUUUAAGUUAUUUUUUAAAAAUAUUUAUUUUGAUUGAAAGUUUUUACGUUUGUUAUUUGUUAAAUAAAGUUGCAUACUAAAUCUCUUCCAGACUCGUCUAAUAUAUUAUUUUUGAGAUAUUUAUAAUAAUUCUUGAUAUUUAUCCCUAAAUAUCUCAAUGCCAAUAACAUAAAAUAUUUUAUUCAUAUCAAUCAUCUUAAAAUUCUUGAUGAGAAAUUUUUUAGUCUUGUACAAGAAACUAAGGUCACAAUUUGGAAGUAAAAUAUUAUCUAUAUACAAGAUCAAUAUAAUAAGCUUGCUCCCACUAAUUUUUAUAUAUAAAUAGUGAUCGACAUCAUUUUUUUUAAGAUUCGAAAAAAGUAAUGAUAUCAAGAAACUUUAUAUACCAUUGUUUGUAUUUCUGAUCAUAAAUAUAUUUUAAAAUUUAUAUAUAAAAUUUUUUUCUCUAUGAAUUGUUUAGUUUAAUCCAUAUAAAUCUUCUCAUCGAGAUUCUUAUUCAAAAGUUACUUUUAUAUCCAUAUGAUAUAAUACAAAAUCAGAAUGAAUUAUUAAUAUUAUGAUGAUUCUUAACAAGUUUAUUUAAAAAAUUAUAAAAAUUAUCUCGUUAUGAUCGAUAUAUUCUUUAUGAGUAAAAUUCUUGGUCACAAGUUUAACUUUUAUAUCGUUUGAUAUUACUCAUUGAAUAAUGUUUAUAGAUAACAAAACAACUUGAUGAGUUUCUUAAAAGCUAUUUUGGUGCAUUGAUCGAAACUUUUUUUUAAUAUAUUAUAUUAUUUUUUAUAAUCGUUACAAUGAGGAACUUUUUAAUUCCUAUUUCACAAUAUGAUUUUUUCAAAUGUACUAUAUAAACUAUAUAAUGAUAGGUCUUAUUUUUCUUUGAGAUCUUCUUAGAACUAUCGAUUGUGAUUAUUUUAUAAGAUCAUUAGCGAUUGAUAUCAACAUCAUAUAGGAGUUCAUCAAUAUUAUUCUAUUAUUCACCCACAUCAAUUCUUUUAGUAAUUUAAUAAACAAUAAUCACUUGAAUAUAAAAUGAUAAAAGAGUAUCAACAUGUAUUUUUUCAAUAUCAAGAUUAAAUUUUAAAAUUUUUAUUUUCACUAAUUUGUUAUUUUUUAAGAAUCUUGUAUUACCAAAUUUAAUUAUCAUCGUACUACGAUAAAGUUAAUAAAAUAAAUAUUCCUAUGAUUUUUUUAGAUAAAUAAUAAAAUAUCUAAAUAUAAUCCUUGAAUCUAAUUAUUUUUCAUAUAAAUUGAAGAUCCUUAUCUGUGUAGGAUAAUUAUAAAUAUAUAAAUAUCUUAGUUUUCGACUAGUCCAUAACAAAAAAAUAUAUAAUGAAAUUGACUUAAUAGAAACUUUAUUCAAGAUAUAAUCAUCCUUGGAGUAUCUACUCAUAUUAAUUCGAGUAUAAAAGAAUAACUCAUAAUACUUAUAACCAUAUCCGUAAGAGUAUGAUUUCGUCUUUCAACAAUCUCAUUUUGUUGUGUUACUUUUGAUAAGAUAUACUAAGCACAAAUACCUCGUUAUUCUAAUAAUCUAACAAAAGACAUAAAAUUAUGAUUCAAUUCAUCAAGACGAUAUCAUAAAACUUAUCAUCCUUGUCAGAUCUGAUAAUUUUAAUUUUUAUCUGAUUAUCUUAUCAUAGAUAUAAAUAUAUAUAAUUUAAUAAAAUUAUAAUUUUAUUUUAAUAUUUAAUUAUAGAACCAUUAUAAACUUCGAUACAGUCUUCUCGGACAAGAGGUUGGGCUGCAGUCAUUGGUGGCCGGCAUGUUGCUUAUGAGUUGGGAGACUAAGAAGAGUAAGAGAGGCGGGGUCGGACUUUAUACUAAGCUACAACUUCAAGUAUAAGGUGACGAACAACACACUGAUCAUCUACGCAUUAAUAUGACAUCGAUAUGACAUACGCAACCCGUAGUUAAAAGAAUUGUGUUUCACGGCCAUGACACUGCUAGCGUGAACUAUUUAUUGAUAUGUUUCUCCCUCAUCCGAUGAUGAUGAUGUUUCUCCCUCCUCCGAGCAUCACACCCAUGAAAAGAUGAUACGAAACAAAUGGUUGGAUGGAAAGAAUGUUUACAUUUGGGAUACCGUUAUAUCAUUGUAAGCAUCAGCUGGAACUGCUUAACGAAACCCACCUGCCGGUCAAUUUGAAUUGGUCGUGUCGGCCGAUUGCCACGAGUUAAGUUUCGAGACAAGAUCGAUCAUGUCGUUCGUACAUUUGAUUAACCUUUGGGUUGCCUGCAAAUACGGCACUGUACGCAGCUUGUGGAUCCAGUCGACGUGAACUCACGCGCAUGCCAUGCCAUGCCAUGUCGUUCCCAUAAUGAAAGAAAAUUUGAAUCAUUAUCCAUCCUUUUCUUCUAAUAUAUAUAAUAACGGAUGGACAUAUUUUUUUCUAGAAUUGUAAUAUACUAGUAGGCAUGUGACCAGCGAUGUUUCCAAAAAUAUAAAAAAUAAAAAAUAAAAAAGAGAGCUAAGAGCCGAUGAUUUGAAGGAAACUUAGCACAAGUAUAAAGGAUAUUCGAACGAUAUGAAUUUUAACGAAGAUCUCGAAGGUAAUAUAAAUCUAUCGAAUAGCCUUCAAUCAACCUCAUGAACAUAUUUAUAGUUUAGAAAUUUAUAUGAUGGAUAUGAUGGGUAGAUAUGAUCGAUCAGUAUUAAUGCAUGGAUAUGAUGGAUAGAUAUGAUCGAUAAGUAUUUACUUUUUUUUAAAUAAAAAAUAAAAUAAAGAUAAAAUUGGAACUUAGAACCUUAUAUAAACUAUGGAUCAGAAUAUUUAUAAAUUAAACUAACUAAUAUAUUCAAAAUAUAUCAAUUAAAAUUUUAAAUUCUUAGUCUUUGAUAAAUAUAUUUGAUACAUCAUCACAGUACUAAUAUAAGAUGUACCGAUCAUAUACUUAUUCCAACAUUGCAUAAAGUAGGACUAGUCAGCGUGUCAUUGCGUGAUAGUAUUGCGACCUCGUAGUCAUGACAUGAUCAAUCCUCCUACUUGUAGUAUACAAAUAUUCUUUUGUUUGUUUUCCUUUUCUAUCUUAUGUCGAAACAAAAUAGUCGCCUAAACUACUACACAUAAAAUAUACAUUCAAAAUAUUUCACUUGACAUUUUAAACCCUUACUAUUUAAUAAAUAUAUCAUACGUGUGACUAGUCAGCAUAUCCACGUUUGACUUCAAUGAGCCUUUUGGUCAUCUCCGUGAUAGUCUGGCGAUCUCGUAGUCAUGAUCAAGCAACGUGAGCAAUCCUCCUACUUGUAGUAUACAAGUAUUCCUUUGUUUUGUUUUCUUUUUCUAUCUUCUGUGAAAACAAAAUAGUUGCCUAAACUGCUACACAUAAAGUAUGCAUUGCAAGAAAAAUAUGACACAAUAAAUCUAGGGCUCUUAAUCUUCUCGCCAAUGGCAUGCAUGCAUCAAGACAUUUGAACUUUGCGUACCUCUACGCUAAGAUAUUCAGUGCUUCGACGCAUAUAAAUCUCAUCCCAACGAUUACUCCCUUAUCAAUUUGAUCCGGGUUUAUAGAGCUCCUCCAUUAUCGCCUCCCUCAUCAUCAUCUCUCUUUGUAAGGAUGGGAUUCACCAAGGGAGUGGUGCAGCAGCUGAGCCCCGAGGAGGAGGAGGAGGCACGCUUGCUCGCCAUGAGGCUUGUGACGGGAUCCUGCCUCCCAAUGAUUCUCAAUGUGGCCAUCGAGCUCGAGCUCCUCGAGAUCAUCGUCAAGGCUGGCCCCGGCGCCAAGCUGAGUCCCGACGACAUCGCCACCCAGCUGCCCACCGAGAACCCACAGGCGGCCGAUAUGGUAGACCGGAUCC